CCCAGAUAACAGGUACGCUCUGAAGAGGCCGGAAUGGGUACUGAACACGGACCCAGCCUAUGGCGCACAGGCGAAACUUUGCAUGUCAAAGCACGACAAGUUAAUCCGAUGUCUCCUGCUAAGGAGUCUUUGUCAGUUGUAAAUCACUGGUGAAUAAGGGGUGGGCAAGUUCUGGUGUCAGCCGCCGCGGUAAAACCAGCACCUCGAGUGGUCAGGAGGUUCAUUGGGCCUAAAGCAUCCGUAGCCGGUUGCAUAAGUUAUCGGUUAAAUCUAUGCGCUUAACAG
Molecule: ribosomal RNA, 285 nt
Filed under: uncultured archaeon
Lineage: Archaea
Description: partial 16S ribosomal RNA
Rfam family: Archaeal small subunit ribosomal RNA
Source: RNAcentral